RNAcentral lists this long non-coding RNA (2123 nucleotides) under Phoenix dactylifera (date palm). RNAcentral's name for it is "long non-coding RNA (PDAC_LNC006083)". Lineage: Eukaryota; Viridiplantae; Streptophyta; Magnoliopsida; Arecales; Arecaceae. The record is from RNAcentral.
CGAAAAAAACUAGAAUAAUUUCAUUGAGAGGAAGAGCUUUGAACAUGGAGUAAUGACAGUUAACUAUGUAGUCAUCUCAUAACAGUAAUACAGAUGACUAAACUCCACAUUUUGCACAUCAAUUAUUCUCCCUCUUUUCCUCUUCUUGCUGCUGCUGCUGCUGCUUCUUUUCUUAAGUUCUUGGUGCUAGAUCCAACUUCUAAGCACAAUCUUUGGUACCAGAUCUGAACACACAAGCAGAACAACAACAAGAACAAGAAGAAGAUUCUAAAUGCCAAAGGGAGAUGAGUACAUGAUAAUUAGGAAACAACCCUUGGAAUAUUGAAUCUGGUGGAGUGUGGUGGGAUGAUGGCAUGGUGGUGGCGGCUAGCCGAGUAAGGCUUCUCCAGAUAGGCCACAGUUGGUGAAGGGCUCACUUGCAUGAACAUAUAGUUCCCUGCAAACAGCUCCCCAACGUAAGGCCUCCCUUCCUUCAAUCUUUUCAGCACCUUCCUCACCGCAGCCCCCACCACCUUGGCUUUCCUCCUUAACAGCCUCCUCAGCCCCGCCACUCGGACCCUCGGCCUCCGCCACCGCCUUGCCCCGGUGCCAAGCCUCAGCCAGCUCCUCCUCCCCCUCCUCCUUACCACCACCACCCCUUCUUCUGCUUCAUCUUCUUCUAGCCCUGAGGGGAGUUUUCUUAGCCUUUGGUAGGAGAACUUGGUGGAGGAAGCCAUCUUUCACAGUGAGGGAUGAGGCAAGUUUAGUUGAGUUGAUGGAUGGUUGUGGUGAUGGGGAGGACUAACCUCCUUUUCAUGGAGAUUUCCCAUGCCUCUUUGUGCUUUCUUUGGCCAUAAAGAGGGUCCAGUGGGGUUGGAGGGAAGCUGUUAGGGUUAUUUAAUGCUGGCUGGUGGAUUAGAAGCUUGGGUGGAACCCAUGCACCUCGGUUGCCAGCUGGUAGUUAGUUCCCUCAUUCUCACUCCAAGAAGGUGGUCCCUUUUAACGCACCACCAAGCAGCAUGCAGUUCACCUCUCUCACGCAAGUCUUGUCUCUCGUUAGAAAAAGAUGGCUCCAGGAGAUAAAAAAUAACUGGAAGAGAGUAGUUAUACGAGGCAUUGAAAGUUACAUGGCAUGGAGGCUUCUUCCAUGGGCCUAGGAUGAUAAGCAAAGGCUGGUACCUGGCAAUUCCAUCUUGUUGUCAGUCUCUGUCAAGGUCAAAUUUUUUCGAGAUAUGUUCGCCAGAAGGUUCAGUGGUUCAUGUCGGAGGGCAGUAAUUUUUCCAGUGAUUUUUUCAGUAUGGUAUUUGAUGUAAGAAUUAUAUAGUAAUAUUCAAAGAGACCUGUGAUCUCACGACACAGGAGAUGCUGCUUGAUAAGAUGAACGGAAUCAGAAGUUUGGCUUCAAUGUAAUUCUAAUUCAUAUAUUUGCGUCCCUGCAGCUAAUUUUUUGUUGCAUGUAAGCCGAUCGACAGGGGUCUUCUUCUGGCUGAAAGUUCCAGGUGAUAAAUUUGGACCAGAUCAGCUAACUUGGAAAUAAAGCACAUAUAUAUAUACUAAUAUACACACACACAGGUGUGUGUGUGAGAGAGAGAGAGAGAGAGAAUGAAGCAUUCUAAGGUUGAUGGGCAAUGAACAAUAUUAGCCAACAGUGGAUGAAGAGAAGUUCAAUGAUCAAUGACCACCUGAUUGGAGGAAAUAUCAAUAAGCUCCUGUAAACAACUGAAUGGAAGAAUCUAUAUAUGGAUAUAUCCCUUUCAUUAAGUUCCACACUUCUAAAGGCAAUGGUCAAUGUCUUCGAUAUUAAGUUGUCGUAGCUCAUAAGUAGUGGCCUGUUGCUACUUCAGUUCCCCACUUCUAAAGGCGAUGGUCAAUGUCUUUGAUAUUAAGGCGAUGGUCAUGCCUCUUGAGUGAAGAAAGGCUUUGCGUGGAAGACGACCCCAGACACACCUUCCACCAGGACACCUUAACUCUAGGAGCAGCCUUGAGACGCCAAAUCCAACUUAAAUUUUGGCGAUUUCUGCAUCGACAUCUUUGAUCUUCAGCUUAUUGCCUCCUGCCAUGAAACAAUCUUCACCUUGAUAUUUGGGGAUAUUAAGGGCCAUUACACGAGCAACAUAGUCUUCUGAAAAAUUUUAAAAACAUCC